This is a long non-coding RNA of Diospyros lotus (date-plum), 680 nucleotides long. RefSeq lists it as uncharacterized. The transcript is spliced from 4 exons. Lineage: Eukaryota; Viridiplantae; Streptophyta; Magnoliopsida; Ericales; Ebenaceae. The record is from RefSeq and is a predicted model, not a curated record.
UAAUGAUCCCUUUUGUUCAUUAUGAUAUUCAGAAAGGUGCAUGCAUUGAUGUGUUUGUGGGGUGCAAUGAAAUGCAAGGCCUGUUGUAAUGUAAUGCUGAAGACUCAGAAGAAAAAAGAUAGUACCUCCUACCAGUGACAGGAAGAUUCAGGUUCUGUUCAAUGUGAAUAAUCUGUGCACCACUUAGGGGGCAAAAAGGAGUUCCUUGGGGAGUGUACACGUUGACAUAAGGUAUGGAGUUUUACCAGGAGGUCUUGAGAUUGUGGACCAGACAGAUCCCAAAAACUGUAUCUGUGUGACCACUAGUGGGGACAGGCAAAAGGCUGAGAAUUAUUGACAUCAAGGUUGCGGAAACAUUGAUUCUUCCCCCUGAUGAAGGUGCAUGUUAGCAGUGAUGAAUGAAUGGAUGUUUGUGUCUAACGAAACCCUAAGGCCCUGAUUCCUCUGGGUAAGAGCACAGAUUGUACAUCUGAGACUGAAACACAAAGAGUAAAGGUCGGGUUCAGGCUCAGGUAAGAACUUAGCAGAAAGGCAUGUGUACAAAUAAAGAUCUUCUUGAGCCCCUAUCUGGAUUUUCCAUUACACCUGCCUCAUUAAAUUUUGAAAAAUAUAUUCAUUUUGUCAGAAGGUUUAUUUACAUAGAAAAAAAAGAAAAAAAAACCAACAUUCUUGGACAGCUA